UACGUAGGGGGCAAGCGUUGUCCGGAAUCAUUGGGCGUAAAGAGCGUGUAGGCGGCCUGGUAAGUCAGCUGUGAAAGUCCAGGGCUCAACCCUGGAAUGGCGGUGGAAACUGUCAGGCUCGAGUCCGGAAGAGGCGAGUGGAAUUCCUGGUGUAGCGGUGAAAUGCGCAGAUAUCAGGAGGAACACCAAUGGCGAAGGCAGCUCGCUGGGACGGUACUGACGCUGAGACGCGAAAGCGUGGGGAGCAAACAGG
This 253-nucleotide ribosomal RNA is filed under the name uncultured bacterium. Its description in RNAcentral is "partial 16S ribosomal RNA". It matches the Rfam family "Bacterial small subunit ribosomal RNA", at positions 524 to 776 of the family's 1533-position model. The record is from RNAcentral.